Molecule: ribosomal RNA, 372 nt
Filed under: uncultured eukaryote
Lineage: Eukaryota
Description: partial 18S ribosomal RNA
Rfam family: Eukaryotic small subunit ribosomal RNA
Source: RNAcentral
CAAUAGCGUAUAUUAAAGUUGUUGCAGUUAAAAAGCUCGUAGUUGAAUUUUUGCUUGCCGCCGAUGUCGGAACUUCCGUACGUUCGGCGGCGUGCAUCCUUGGGUGGAACCUGUGUGGCAUUAGGUUGUCGUGCAGGGGAUGCUCAUCGUUUACUGUGAAAAAAUUAGAGUGUUCAAAGCAGGCUUACGCCGUUGAAUAUAUUAGCAUGGAAUAAUAAGAUAGGACCUUGGUACUAUUUUGUUGGUUUGCGCACCGAGGUAAUGAUUAACAGGGACAGUUGGGGGUAUUCGUAUUCCAUUGUCAGAGGUGAAAUUCUUGGAUUUCUGGAAGAUGAACUACUGCGAAAGCAUUUACCAAGGAUGUUUUCAUUA